AAGAUUUUAAGAUAUUUAAUCUAUUAACCUUCAAAGUUAAAUAUAUAAUAACUUUUAUAAAUCUUA
This 66-nucleotide transfer RNA is filed under the name Ancistrocerus parietum. RNAcentral's name for it is "tRNA-Trp". The record is from RNAcentral. Lineage: Eukaryota; Metazoa; Arthropoda; Insecta; Hymenoptera; Vespidae.